Molecule: ribosomal RNA, 41 nt
Filed under: Anopheles barbirostris subgroup clade III
Lineage: Eukaryota; Metazoa; Arthropoda; Insecta; Diptera; Culicidae
Description: partial 28S ribosomal RNA
Source: RNAcentral
UCGCCUCAACUCGUGUGAGACUACCCCCUAAAUUUAAGCAU